AUGACAUCUGAGAAUGAUAAGAAAACCAAAUUAGUCAAUGGAACAUUGUAUUUAGUAUAUAUUACUAAGGACAAAAGAGAAAAAAUAGAUUGCUACAACUGAUUUUGGUGGGAGAAAUUCUAGACACACCCGGAUGUCAAAGAACGUUGUUGUGAUCUAACAGCUCAACUCUGUUUCUCAGGGGAAUGACUCUCCAGGAAAUGAAUGACGGGAACAGAC
This is a long non-coding RNA of Echinops telfairi (small Madagascar hedgehog), 219 nucleotides long. RefSeq lists it as uncharacterized. The transcript has 3 exons. The record is from RefSeq and is a predicted model, not a curated record. NCBI's taxonomy places the organism in Eukaryota, Metazoa, Chordata, Mammalia, Afrosoricida, Tenrecidae.